AUCAAGAGCACUCUGAUAGACCUCAGAGCAAUCUGUUAAAGCCUGCUUUACAGAUGCAUCUGAACUUGUUUCGAGCAAUUUGGGGAUGAGCUUCAAUACUUCAUUGGCGCUCAAUGAUGCUAUGUCAAGUGCACUUUUUGUCAAGCUUUGCAUGUCACUUGCUGGGGCUGAUCCUAAAGCUUCUUUGCAGAAAUCCUUGUAUAAGGUUUUGUCACAGGAUUGAUUUAACAAUUCUGAGGCUUGGUGACUAGUAGAAAUCAUGGCAAAAAAUAGGGCAAAGAAAAAGAUUUUCGAAGACAUGAUGGUUCGUGGGAUUUUUCUCUCUCGCCAAUUUUUCUUUAUUUGCCUUCUCGUAUAUGUGUCAAUGAAAAUCUUUCUCUUGGCGAAUUUUUCUUUUGCCUUCUUAUUUUCGAAGACAUGAUGUUUCGUGGGAUUUUUCUUUCUUGCCAAUUUUUCUUUAUUUGCCUUCUCGUAUAUAUGUCAAUGAAAAUCUUUCUCUUGGCGAAUUUUUCUUUUGCCUUCUUCUUGUAUUUGUACUAAACAAAAGUUUGGGUAUUUUAGGUUGUUUUUAACUAUUUUCUAUUUUUGGGAAGGUUGUUAAAGAAAUAAGACGAGAAUAAGGAGGUAAAAAAACAUGUGGAGAACCAAUUAACAGGUAAAAGUAACAGAAUGAUCUAUUGAUUCUCAAAUUACAAAAGUCCAAUGUUAUUUCUGGUUUCUGGAUUGUCUAUAUAUGGCAGUUUUAUUUCACAAAGUUAUCUUUUGCAAUUGAGUGGAUCGUAAUAAUCCCAAUAACUAUGGAAGUGUAUGAACAUUAUUAAACAAAAUUGUACUUUACAACGUGUUUUAAAUUGAGAUUAUUUUGACCAACAACGUGUUUUAAAUUGAGAUUAUUUUGACUAAUAAAAUAUUGGUUGAAGUGGUAAACGACUUUAAUCCCGUAAGGAUAAGAAUACAAAUUUGAUAUCCAAGAAGAACAUUUUACUGGGAGGACCAAAAAUCUUUACACGAUCAGGGGGAUGAUUACACCUCCUAGUUAUAUAAAAAAAAAAAAAAAAAAAAAAAAAAAAUUGAGGUUGAAGUUAUUUGGUCAAUAUCUCUCCUGCUAAAGCAUAUGAGAAUAAAUUCUUCGUAAGAAGUAAUAAAACUCAAAAUGUGGAAGUGUUAAUUUCUAUAUAAAUAAUUCAGAAAUAAAUGCUUUUAUUUUUGAAUAAAAAUUUUAUAAUAGCAAGCAUCUAUAAUUUUGGGAAUGGAUGUUAAGAAAAAAUGCCAUGGUAAUAAUUUUUUAAGUUAAAAUCAGAGACAAAUUAUACGACGUAUAUAUGUAAUCUUAUUAUCAAACUAUUGUAAUAUUUGAAAUGAUAUUUAAAUGUUAGGCAAGAAAUAAAAAACUCAAGCUGGAGAAAUAUUUGUACUAUUUUUAUUAUAUUUAUUGGUAUGAGAAAAUAUGUUAAAUAUGUGAAUUCGCCAUGAUUCCUUAACGCUACCCUAAUGAAUUUACCAAUAUAAUUUGUAUAAAAGAUUUAAUUACAGUGAAUGACAACACUUGAAAGAAAUGAAGUGUAUGUUUGAUUUUUGUUCAAAUACGCAGUAAAGAGUCAAAUUUGAUGCCUAAUGAUGUAAUCAAAUGCAAUAUGGCAGAUACAAGAAAAGAAAACUAAUGGAUGCAAGUAAACGACAAAUCUGGAAAUUGAUGAAAGAAACUUGAAAUUCUCAAAUAAAAUCUCAAAUUAUCACACAAAACACUCAAUUAACACGAAAGAUAUGGUUUUGAAUGAAUCCAAACUCAAUUGAAAGGAGUCAAACCCAAACAGCUCCAAAAUUCACCAAAUAAUAUGGAACCCCAAGAUCAACAUGGAAUUUAGAACUCUCCACCAAUUUGAACCAGUAGAAUUAACCCCCAAGCGAUCAUGAUUUUGAUUUGUUCUUAUACCUAAGAACUCAAUCUAAAAGAACUUAAAGAGAAAAUCCCAAAAUAUCCCUUUUACACGCAAUUUGAAUUAGACGUUCAAAAACAUAAGAAAUAUGAAUUGAAUCUGAAUAGCAAUUGAACAAAUCAAUUAUAAUCCAGACAACACCUUAUGCACGAAGAUAAAAGAAGUCUUAAACCUCACUUUCAUUGAUCUAAAAUUAUCCAAAAUUUUAUAUCUCUCAAAACAAAGAAAGCUAAUCCCUUUACAUAGAGAAGGGAUGUACAAAUUAAUUAAAUAAAAUUAAAACAAUAAUUAAAGCCAUAAAGUGGAUGAGUCUUCCAUAGCUCCCUUAACUCUUUAUGUUCUAUUACCUUCUUAUCUCUUCAAGUUCCAGUGAUCCAAAAUAAGCACAAAUGAACUGUCCAACCGAAAUAUAUGGGUCCUAAAAUGAGUUUUGAGCUAAAAGCCCAAAAAUUUCAAGAUUGCCAAAACAGGCCUAAUGAUGUCAUUACUUCAUAAAAUUUCCCAUGUAUAAAUAUAGCCCAAAAUGAACUCCAAACUAACACAAAUGCAUUUUAAAUAAUUUAGGAAUUAUUUUAGCCCAUAUUUUAAAUAAAAGCCCAAACAGUCUAUAAAUUUUUAUACCUGGACAUUUUCCUGUUUUGACUCAUUUUGCGCUCAUAACUUGUAUUGUAUCAAAAAGCUAAUCACGUAGAAACUAAAUAAUUAUAUCUGGUACACGUGAAAAAUAAAAUGUUUGAUAUAUAUGAAAAAUAUUCACAAAUUAAUUUAAUUACAUUGUUCUCUGAUAUUGUAAUAUGUUAAAUGUGUAAUUAUAUACAAUUCUAUUGAUAAUAAAAAUAUUAAGAUUUAAUUCUGUAGAGUAUAUAACGAAAAUUCAAUGUUGGAUUAAUUUUAAACGUCAAAAGGAAAUUUGAUACGGAUAAAAUGGAGUUAAGAUAGGCUUAAAUCAAAAAUUUCAAAGAAAAAUAUAAACAAAUAUAUAUAUAUAUAUAUAUAUAUNNNNNNNNNNNNNNNNNNNNNNNNNNNNNNNUUUUUUUUUUUUUUUUUUUGGGAUAUUUUGCAUCUCCUUUUCUUAGCUCAAGAGAAUGAGAUGUUUUCCUGAUUCCGCUGUAUUAUUUUUUUGUCAAUUUUCUUUUAGCGUUUUUCAACUAAUUACGGGUGUGUUGGGGAAGCCUAUGGUUUGAGGUAAAUUCUUGAAAAUACUAAACUUUUUCUGGUAUUUUUAAUCCUAAUCAAAAAAUUUUUGUUGCUGACAAAAAAUAAAAUAAAAUAAAAGAUGAUAAGAAAAUUGCAUAUUUUAUCCAAAUAAUAAUAGAAUUGCACGUUUCACACAACAAAUAGGCAUAUAAUUAAUAAGUUAGGACAUAUCCAAAAGCCUCAAGAGAACGAUUAUUAUUGUAAAAUAAAUAAAUAAAGCAAUACGUUCUUUAAUUUAAUUUUGGUGACUCUGAACUCUCCACAAAUGGAACCAUUUCAACCUCACCUAGGAAAAAAUUCAAAGUCUUCAAUUCCUGAUUCUUCAAGUCAUACCGUAGCAAUAAAGAUAAUGAAUGUGACUUCUCAAGUAUAAAAAAUGCAUUAUUCUCAAAAGAAAAGUGUGCUGAAACCGAGUAUAUUGUCAUCUGUUGGAUGGUAUCAAUUAGGUCAAAGAACUUGUCGCCCAUAUUCUUUCAUUACCCAAACAUCUACAUAAGGAGAUUGAUCUCAUAAACACAAAUUGAGGUUACGAAAGAAAGGCACCCUUGCAGAACAUUUAACUCAAACAUUGACAAGACCCUGUUUCUUACAGUUGGGAAGUUGCAGUUGUAAUGUUUUCUCAUCUGCUAAGUUAAAAGCAACAAUAACCUUGCUGAAAUUUCCCAAUUCUAAAACCCAGUGGAAAGCUCCAUGCGCUAAAUUUCCCAGCUUUACUAAGUCUAAUUUUGAAGUUAAAAUCUCUGAUCUUUCGUAGAGAAUUAGAUUUCAGUGAAAGAACAAUGAGCUAUUUUAAAUGGUCAUCGUCGCUAUAUGCACAUUGUAUAACUUUAUAAUCAUCAGUAGCAGCGUCGUAACCUAAUCCAUAAGAGUAAGAGACAUUAAAGAACUAUUUUUAGGGUUUUGGCAAUUCUCUAGUCGAAGGUUCCAUAUGAUAAUGGAAUAGUAACGACUUGGAUUCGAGACAAUGUUAUUACUAAAAAGAUACCAUGGAAGAAACUUCGAGGCAAUGGCUCUGGUUUUCCUUCGAACUUUGGAAUAAGGAGUUGGAUAAGAGACAUGUAACAAUAUCAAACCAUCACAAGAACAUAAAAUCCUGCAAUUCUUGUAAUUUAAAAAUCGCAGCUGUUGCUUCAAGAGAUAUUUAAUUGGCAUAGGUUCUUCUAAAUCAUUAACAUCAUAAAAAUAUGAACCACAAAAGAAUUUGGAUGAAUCAACUUGGGAUUGGUGGUGGAGGUGUGAUUUGAUGAAGUUUGGACUAUAGAUUAAAGAAUGACAUGAUUUUGAUAUACAUUUUACCUUUAGUUUUAAGAAUAUCUCCGCUACAAUAUCUUCAGUUACUCUGAUUUCCAUGGCAGCGUGGAUGUUGAGAUUCUCUCUCGAUGGAAUUUUAUGUAAUUGCUAAUUAGGGUUUGACUGCCGGAAUUCAAUUCCCAUCCUAAUUAAAAAUUAUUUAUAGCUUGAUAUAAUCAUGGAAAGUUUAAAAAAAAAGAAAUAUAGACCGAUUUAAGCAAUUGAAUCCCCUUAUUCAAUAUGGUAACUUGACGUGUUAGACUUACCAAAAAUAGUUUAUAUAGGAGUAAAUUAUUAUUUAGUACAUUUAAUUUAGUGAAAUUAACUAUUUAAUCUCUAUCUUUUAAAAAAUACAUAAAUUGUUGAGAAGUAACACAAAAUUAACUAUUUAGAGCGAUCUUUUAGUCGUUGCUUCACAAAUUCAUCUGAAAUUGUGUUGAGCAUUCCGGUGAUAGCUUUGGAGAUUUCAGUUGCACUCAAUGAUGCUAUGUAAAGUGCAUAUUUUGUCAAGGUUGGCGGGCCACUUGUUGGGCCUACUGUUAGAGCUUCUUUGCAAUAGUUAUUGUAUAAUGUUUUUUCACAAGAUUGAUUUAUUAAAUCUGAGCCCUGUUGGUGUCAUGGCGAAAAAUAAGGCAAAGAAAAAGAUUUUGGAAACAUGAUGUUUCACGGAAUUUUUUUCUCUCACUAAUUUUUCUUUAUUUUCCUUCUUGUAUAUAUGUCAAUGAAAAUCUCUCUUGGCGAAUUUUUCUUUUGCCGUCUUUUUGUAUUUGUGCUAAACAAAGGUUUGGGUAUUUUAAGUUACGUUUAACUAUUUUCUAUUUUUUGAUAGGUUCUAUUUUAAGGUGUUUGUAACUAUUUUGUAUUUUUGGAUAAGAGCAUAAAAAAAAAAAAACAAAUUAAUAGGAUAAAAGUAAAAAAAAAAAAAUCAUAAUAAUGACACAUUUAUCUCACAAUGUUAUCUUGUACCAUGAAUAUUCCUAUUUGACAAUGUUUUUUUUUUCGGAUAUUAGGUGAAGGAGAAUUCGAACCCGAAUCUAUUGUCGGGUCAUAUAUAUACACCUACUACUAGGCUAUACCUUGGUAUGCCCUAUUUAACAAUGUUAGUUUUUUUAGUGACUAUUAAUUGUUCCGGUAACUUUUAUGGAAAAAAACUUGUCUAAAUUGGGUCUAUUAUCCAACUUAUAGACCAAACCAAUGAAAUUAAAGAUUUUCUAAAAAAUGUUUCGAUUUUAUCUUUUUUUUUUUCAAGUGUGGUCAGAAAUAUACUCUUUUCAAUUAAAAAUCUUUAAUUUCAUUGAUUUGGUCCAUAAGUCAAUCCACAAUAAUUUUCCAUCAAUAGAACUCAACCAAAAUCAUAGAAAUUAAAGAGGGAGCUCUAAUUUGGAAUAAAGGUCAAUCCGGUACCUGAACUUGUUUCGCAGGAUAAAAAAAAAAAGUCAAAUUUGACUUUUGGGGCAAUUUAGCCUUUAAACAUGUAUAAAAUUAUUAAAAAGAUCUGAUUUUACUUUUUAAGCCAAUUUAACUCCUGAACUUAUUUGAAAUAAUUAAAAAAAUCAUAUUUGACAUUUUGAGUCAAUUUAAUAUCUAAUUCUUCACUGUACUUAUAAUGUAAAAAUUAUUAAAUAAAAACUAUAGUUGGGAUCGAGCCGACUAAUUUAUUAAAAAGUUAAUUAAUUAUAAAAUGUAGGAAAAUGAUAAAUGAAGUACAUUGUAUCUCUCUUUACAUUGAUUGAUAAUUUUGAAUUUAUAAAUAUAUAUUAAUUUGAACAUUUUAAAAUCAACCUUUAUUACUGGGUUAUCGCUUAUGAAAUAUAUGCAUUUUUCAUGUUGAAUAAAUUGAAGUUAUACUGCAUAUGUUUAUAAAUUUAUUAUAUUACAAGAAAUGAUGUUUUAUGAAUUUUAAAUUUAUAUUCAUAAGUGUUGAAAAAGUUUAAUAAGAGUGUUCUUAGUGUUGGACAAAAAGAGAUAAAAAAUCAAUCAUGUUAAAUUAAAUAAAUUAUUAAUUUAUAAAAAUCAAAAUAAGCUCAAGAGUUAAAUUAACUUAAAAAAGUGAAAUCAGAUCUUUUUAAUCAUUUUAUAGAUGUUGAAGGGCUAAAUUGGCCUAAAGGUCAAAUCUAACAUUUUUUAUUCUGUUAAACAAGUUCAUGGACCAAAUUGAUUUUUAUUCCCUCUAGUUUCUAAACAUGCAUGUGGGAGUAAAAAAUCUCAUUUUUCAAUUUUUAAUUAACAACUUGAUUUUUUUAUUUAAUUAAAAUGCAUUUCAAAGCUAAAUAGCAAGUUUAGAUCGACUUACUAGUGAUUUAGUGCAAGAAACAAGAGAAACUAGAAAAAUUUAAAAAAAAUUAUAAAAUCAAAUGUUAAUAUGGAUUCAUUUCCAUAAAUGAUUGUUCACAUAAGAGUUCAAUUUUUGGCGGAGAGAUUUGAAAAUGUUAAAAUAAUACUGGAAAUUUGGCUAAAUCUUGUGUUGACACUAGUCAAUGGAGAUGUAACUCCAUUGAAACCUUCCUCACAAGUCUCAGAACUGGUCAUCCCAGCACUAAUCCAUGUAUUAACAUCAUUAUAAGCCUUAGCAUCAACAGCAGCCGUUGAUUUCUUAAUCUGAUCAAGAGCGCUCUGAUAGACCUCAGAGCAAUCUGUUAAAGCCUGCUUUACAGAUGCAUCUGAACUUGUUUCGAGCAAUUUGGGGAUGAGCUUCAAUACUUCAUUGGCGCUCAAUGAUGCUAUGUCAAGUGCACUUUUUGUCAAGCUUUGCAUGUCACUUGCUGGGGCUGAUCCUAAAGCUUCUUUGCAGAAAUCCUUGUAUAAGGUUUUGUCACAGGAUUGAUUUAACAAUUCUGAGGCUUGGUGACUAGUAGAAAUCAUGGCAAAAAAUAGGGCAAAGAAAAAGAUUUUCGAAGACAUGAGGUUUCGUGGGAUUUUUCUCUCUCGCCAAAUUUUCUUUAUUUGCCUUCUCGUAUAUGUGUCAAUGAAAAGUAAAAAAAAAUGUGGAGAACCAAUUAACAGGUAAAAAUAACAGAAUAAUCUAUUG
Molecule: long non-coding RNA, 7452 nt
Filed under: Jatropha curcas
Lineage: Eukaryota; Viridiplantae; Streptophyta; Magnoliopsida; Malpighiales; Euphorbiaceae
Description: long non-coding RNA (JCUR_LNC000205)
Source: RNAcentral